GACAAACGCUGGAGAUCUUGAGUCUCUUGAGGAAAGUCCAUGCUCGCACAGUCUGCGAUGGCUGUAGUGUUCGUGCCUAGGGAAAAAAUAACCUAGGGUAGUUAUGCUAACGGCGGAGAUAUUCCUAAGUCUUUGGAUAUGGAAUUAUCCAUAAAGUGCCACAGUGACGAUACUUUUCGAAAGGAAAGAGUGAAACGUGGUAAACCCCGCGAGCGAGAAACCCAAAUUUGGUAGGGGAGUCUUAAUGAAGGAAUUGAACGGAUUUAAGGACUGAGAAAUCAGUAGAUAGAUGUUUGUCACCUGAAAAGGUACAGAACAUGGCUUAUU
RNAcentral lists this RNase P RNA (327 nucleotides) under bovine gut metagenome. RNAcentral describes it as "Bacterial RNase P class B". It matches the Rfam family "Bacterial RNase P class B". Rfam says of the family: Ribonuclease P (RNase P) is a ubiquitous endoribonuclease, found in archaea, bacteria and eukarya as well as chloroplasts and mitochondria. The record is from RNAcentral.